Long non-coding RNA from Herpailurus yagouaroundi (jaguarundi), 997 nucleotides. RefSeq lists it as uncharacterized. Lineage: Eukaryota; Metazoa; Chordata; Mammalia; Carnivora; Felidae. The transcript has 5 exons. The record is from RefSeq and is a predicted model, not a curated record.
AAGCAGAGCCUCGGGAUCAGCGCCUUUAUAAAAGCGACCUCAGAGGGUCCCUCAGCCCUUGUACCGAGCGAGGGCACAGCGACAAGACCCUCAGAAGGAAGCCGGCCCUCACCAGGCACCGGAUCUGCAGCAUCUCGGUGGCCUUGACGGUGGACUUCCCAGCCUCCAGAGCCGUGAGAAACUAACUUUUGUUGUUCAAUUCUUCGUGUUUGAUAUGGUGAAGUUUUCAACAGCUUGAAGUCACAUUUCGAGAGCAGGAAUUAUCCCUGGAGAGCAGAGAGCACAUUGGGUCAUAAUGGCCAUAGAGGGAUAUUGGACUCCUUCCAGCAUUUCAGAUCACAAGAAAUGCAGAGCUGCUCUGAAGACCCCGGUAGGGCCCAGAGGUGCCCCAGUCAACAAUACCAUGAGAGUUCUCAUGGCAACUUGUAAAGCUUAUUAUUAUUAAGCCAAGCCAUGAGAUUUACAGUAAGGAGAAAAUGGAUCAUUCUGGAGAUAGGAAGUCUAUAGAGCAGGGAAGAAGGAGGCUAUGAAGCAAGUGUGUUUCAUAGUUAGAGCAGAGAAUUAGAAAGCCCUUACGGUAUAGUUGGAGGAGAAAGAGGAGAAAACAAGAAAGGGGAGGAAUGGAUAAUACUUACCUAUGUUGUACACGGAGGAGAGAUGCUUUAGUGUCCAGUUGGGGAGGAAAAAGAGCCCUGGGUACAGAGUCAUAAGGGGAAAAGAACUGCUCUUUCCAGCAAAGACAAGUUCAUGCACAUCUCUUUUUUUUUUUUUUUUUUUUUUUCUGCUCUGUCUCCAUUUGGGUGGGCUUUCUCCAAAGAAUCAUAAAAAAAUAAGCUAUGUUUUAGAAUCUCAUUCUUCUUGAGGGAAGACCAGAAAACUCUCUCUCUACCUCUGGACUAAUCUGCCUCAAUGUAGCUGAGGAAAUCUGGACUUCCUCAGCAGCUGGCGUUGUUCAAAAUAGACCAUCCUUGCUUUGGGUCAUACGACUCAAGCCUCA